Molecule: ribosomal RNA, 501 nt
Filed under: uncultured bacterium
Lineage: Bacteria
Description: partial 16S ribosomal RNA
Rfam family: Bacterial small subunit ribosomal RNA
Source: RNAcentral
AUUGAACGCUGGCGGCAGGCUUAACACAUGCAAGUCGAGCGGAGAGAGGUAGCUUGCUACUGAUCUUAGCGGCGGACGGGUGAGUAAUGCUUAGGAAUCUGCCUAUUAGUGGGGGACAACAUUUCGAAAGGAAUGCUAAUACCGCAUACGUCCUACGGGAGAAAGCAGGGGAUCUUCGGACCUUGCGCUAAUAGAUGAGCCUAAGUCGGAUUAGCUAGUUGGUGGGGUAAAGGCCUACCAAGGCGACGAUCUGUAGCGGGUCUGAGAGGAUGAUCCGCCACACUGGGACUGAGACACGGCCCAGACUCCUACGGGAGGCAGUAGUGGGGAAUAUUGGACAAUGGGCGGAAGCCUGAUCCAGCCAUGCCGCGUGUGUGAAGAAGGCCUUAUGGUUGUAAAGCACUUUAAGCGAGGAGGAGGCUACUUUAGUUAAUACCUAGAGAUAGUGGACGUUACUCGCAGAAUAAGCACCGGCUAACUCUGUGCCAGCAGCCGCCGCUG